GUAUGUGUGUGUUCGAGCAGAGGAGAAGAAAAGAGGGGGAACCCCUCAUGAACCCUAAUCAACGAAAUUGGAUGCGAAUUAGGCUGAAUUCGAAGUUGCAUGAGUCGAAAUAGUGAUUAUCUAAGCAAGCUUUAGCCAAGCGUUAGGGAUCACAUGGAAAUGGACUCAAGCAAGAAAGACUAACGGGUCAAGAGGGGACAAGGAAGCCAAUGAGAAAACGGACGCUCAAGGUACUACACGGAUUUUCUUCUACCACUAUCGAAGAUAAGCGGGCAUAGAUCGAGUCGAAUAACAAGGGUUGUACGGAAAGAACGGUUACGUAGUCUUAAUUUUGUAACGCAUUAAUUUGUAAAAAGGGAAGUGAAUUUUGUAAGCUUCUUCUUGAAUGUGUGUAUUGUUAUAAGAUCGUAAAGAAAAUUUUAAAGCUAA
Molecule: long non-coding RNA, 429 nt
Organism: Helianthus annuus (common sunflower)
Lineage: Eukaryota; Viridiplantae; Streptophyta; Magnoliopsida; Asterales; Asteraceae
Exons: 3
Source: RefSeq, a predicted model, not a curated record